RNA transcript from Octopus sinensis (East Asian common octopus), 2583 nucleotides. It is a transcript of the gene named rab-like protein 3, with no coding region annotated. NCBI's taxonomy places the organism in Eukaryota, Metazoa, Mollusca, Cephalopoda, Octopoda, Octopodidae. The transcript has 9 exons. The record is from RefSeq and is a predicted model, not a curated record.
UAAAGGUAAUGUAAGGGAGAUAACUCUAAGCAGUAAAUUGCUCUUUAAUUGAACAGAUGUUUGCUUGUGAGAAAUGGCUGCGAUUGACAAAGUCCGGAUUCUUGUGACGGGAGACUCAGGCGUUGGUAAAACAUCACUUGUACAGCUUCUCUGCCAUGGUGAAGCAACAAAUAACCCAGCCUACACAAUUGGUUGUUCUGUAGAGGUUGCUUUACAUGAAUACAAAGCAGGAACUGCUGAUGAACGCACAUACUUUGUUGAAUUGUGGGACAUUGGUGGCGCUACACAGCACAAGAAUAGCAGAUACAUUUUUUACAACCCUAUUCAUGGAAUUAUUCUUGUUCACGACUUGACAAAUCGGAAAUCUCACCAGAACUUAAGGAAAUGGUUGACAGAAGUUUUAAACAAAGGAACCAGUAAAGGAAACAGCAGAGAAUACAAUGAAUGUGAUUUUGAUCCUGAACAAUUUGCUGGUAACCAGAUACCAAUAAUGGUAGUAGGAACCAAAGUUGAUCUAGCACAAAGUCUGCGAGACAAUUUUCUCUCCAAACGCUCAACAGUUGCUGAGGAAUGCGGUGCAGGUGAAAUAAACUUAGAUUGUAAACAAAAGAAAUUCCUGGCUCCUGGAUCUACCAAUGCAGUAAAGGUGGCCAAAUUUUUUGAUAAGGUUAUUGAGCGCAGGUUUUACAACCGAGAACUGGGAGGCCAGGCAGCCAUGUAUUCAGGCUUCGUUAGAAGAACUUAGUCUCAGGUGAGACGUUACUACUUUCUAUGAUUACCUAAAGUAGCUUGUCUCAGGUGGACCAUCACUUUUUUUUAUGAUUAUUUAAUCUACUUUGUUUCAGUUUACUUCAUUUUCUGGUGGACAGAACAACCGAAGAUAUACUAAGAACUCUCACUGUGAUUGAACACUUAACACCAAAUAUCUCAUUGAACACAACACACUAAAACUUCCUAACACAAAAUACUAAAAAACUAAACACCACUCACUAAACACCAAGCACUAAAUACAACAGACACUAAAAAAUAUACCCCACACACUAAUUAUUCAUUAUCAUCAUCAUCAUUUACCUUUGGUAGGCAAGCCUUUAGCAUUUCACUCUAACAAUAGGUAUUUCUUACCUGACAGUAUAUCUGGUGACCUGCUGCCUGUCAAAGCUCUGUAUACGAGAAACAUUUGAUCCUUCUGAAGAAUUUGUCCUGGAACACCUAAAUUCUACAUUCCAUAUUGGUAGUAAGUGCCCUGCUUUCACACCGACACAGAAAUAUUUUAUGGCACUAAGGACUUGUACAGUUCGAGUUUUGUUGAAAAACUGAUGGAGAUCAAACCAACUCUUGCUUUUAUCUCCUUUAUUAAGUUGUGGUUUGCUCAAAGUGAAUCCAGGGUAUUUAAAAAUAGCCACUUUUUCAAGCUGAUGUCCUUCAGCAUGAUAUUGGUUUUCCAUUCCAUAUGCACCUGAAUGUCUGCCCUGUGUAGUGGUAAGUUCCUGGAUUUCUACUUAACUGCCUUGCAUUAAGCUGGUAUCAUCAGCAAAACAUGGGUUGUGAAGGAACCAUCUUCCAAGGAAAGUGGCGUUUACAAAAUCAUGUAGUGUACACUGCAUGAUGUUUUCCAAGGAAGAUGUUGAAAAGCAUUAGAAAGAGGAGAUAGCAUUAAUGCACCCCAAGUAUUGUCCUGAAGAAGUUUGUGGUUUUGUCAUUCUAGUAAACUGUAUGGAUUGAUUUCCAUACAGUGCUUGAAUCACUUGACUGAGGUUGAUUUUGGAGUAGACGUCUCUAAUCACUUGUCACAAAUACAUAGGCCAAACAUGAUCAAAGAUUUUGAGGUUAAUGAAAUGCCAUACACUAAACACUAAAUACUAAGCACCAAACCCUAAGCAUAUCACCUUAAACACCACGCUAAACAAUCAUCCUCAAGUACUACGUACUAAACAUUGAACACUAGAUACAACACACUCAGCACCAAAAUCCUCACUAAACACCUAACAUAAACUUCAAACACCAAGCAGCACACAUUAAACACCACUUGCUAAACACUAUAGAAUAAACACCACUCAUUAAACAUCACAUCAUACAUGCCACACACUAAAUCUGAUUUACUACGUGUGAAACACUGAACACUAAGCAUCACACACUACACACCACACACUAAACACUUAAUUGGAAGCAGUAAACACAAAACAUCACGACACUAAACACCUGAAACCUCUCUAAACAUUAGGCCUUCAAGGAAAAUGUUUUCCUUUCAGUACUUUCUAUGAAGACACUGUAUUUUGUGUUAAGGCAGUUCUAAUGAUUGUCUUCCUUCGGAAAGAACUCUGCUGAUCUUCAUAAUUUCAGAAAAAGAGAGAAACAGGAAGAGAAGGAAACAGAGUUAGAAACAAUUCUUUUUAAAACAAUUUUCUUUCACAUUUUUUAAGUUUGGAAAGAAGAGCUGUGCCUAUAAAUAUUGCAGGUACUUCCAAGCGAGUGACCAAUGUGUAUAUAAAUAUUGCCAUAAUAGCAUGAGUGGAUGGAUGGUUUGUACAGUCAUAAAGUGGUUGAAUUGAAUCUUUUGUCAGCUCAAUAAACUAAAGAAGCAGA